UACGUAGGGCGCAAGCGUUAUCCGGAAUUAUUGGGCGUAAAGAGCUCGUAGGCGGUUUGUCGCGUCUAGCCGUGAAAGUCCCGGGGCUCAACUCCGGAUCUGCGGUGGGUACGGGCAGACUAGAGUGAUGUAUGGGGAGACGUGAAUUCCUGGAUGUAGCGGUGGAAUGCGCAGAUAUCAGGAGGAACACCGAUGGCGAAGGCAGGUCUCUGGGCCAUUACUGACACUGAGAAGCGGAAAGCAUGGGAGCGAACAGG
RNAcentral lists this ribosomal RNA (257 nucleotides) under uncultured bacterium. RNAcentral describes it as "partial 16S ribosomal RNA". It matches the Rfam family "Bacterial small subunit ribosomal RNA", at positions 524 to 776 of the family's 1533-position model. The record is from RNAcentral.